CUGGAAUAGAACUGGCAACCUUUCAGAGCAUGGAGUAUACAAUGGAGUCUACCAGAAGCUACAUUCUGUCUGAUAUUACAGAGAUUGCACCAAAAGCAGAUGAGAAUGCAGCUGAGAAGGCAGACAUUAAAGAGAUUUGUAAAAAUAAAAAAAAGUCACUCUUUAUA
This is a long non-coding RNA of Myotis brandtii (Brandt's bat), 167 nucleotides long. RefSeq lists it as uncharacterized. The transcript has 2 exons. The record is from RefSeq and is a predicted model, not a curated record. NCBI's taxonomy places the organism in Eukaryota, Metazoa, Chordata, Mammalia, Chiroptera, Vespertilionidae.